GGCCCCAUCGUCUAGUGGUCUAGGACAUCAGGUUCUCAUCCUGAAAACCGGGGUUCGAGUCCCCGUGGGGUCA
RNAcentral lists this transfer RNA (73 nucleotides) under bacterium. RNAcentral describes it as "tRNA-Glu". It matches the Rfam family "tRNA". From Rfam's summary of the family: Transfer RNA (tRNA) molecules are approximately 80 nucleotides in length. Their secondary structure includes four short double-helical elements and three loops (D, anti-codon, and T loops). The record is from RNAcentral.